GGUCGGAUUUUUAAAAACCCGAACCCGAACCCGAAAACCAAAUUAAAACCUGUAUCCGGACCCAAACCCGACGGGUUUUAAAAAUCCAUACCCAUAUCCGUACCCGACAAAAAACCCGAAAUCCGAACCUGAAUCCGAACUCGGCAGGUUUUAAAAAUUUAUGCUGUUGAAUGAAAAUCUAAAGGAUAAAAAUUAUUAAAUAUUUUAUAUAUUAUAUAAAUAAAUAAAAAUAAAUUAUGUAUAUAUAUAAUUUAUUCGGGUUCGGGUUCGGGUCGGGUAAAUACAAAAUCCAUACUCGUAUCCAUAUCCGUCGGAUUUUUAUUUUCCAUACCCAUAACCGAAUCUAUUCCCGUUUAGUUCGGAUAAACCCGCUCGUUCGGGUUCGGGUUCGGAUAAUAUUUCGAAUAUUCAUACCCAUUGACAUUCCUAAUACACAGAGUAAUUUCACCAGAAAAUGUACAC
Molecule: long non-coding RNA, 462 nt
Filed under: Ananas comosus (pineapple)
Lineage: Eukaryota; Viridiplantae; Streptophyta; Magnoliopsida; Poales; Bromeliaceae
Description: long non-coding RNA (ACOM_LNC035351)
Source: RNAcentral